ACAGUGGACGCGAGCAUCUGUGGCCAAGUUUUUAAGGGCGCACGGUGGAUGCCUUGGCACCAGGAACCGAUGAAGGACGUGGGAGGCCACGAUAGUCCCCGGGGAGCUGUCAACCAAGCUUUGAUCCGGGGGUUUCCGAAUGGGGAAACCCGGCAGUCGUCAUGGGCUGUCACCCGCUGCUGAACACAUAGGCAGUGUGGAGGGAACGAGGGGAAGUGAAACAUCUCAGUACCCUCAGGAAGAGAAAACAACCGUGAUUCCGGGAGUAGUGGCGAGCGAAACUGGAUGAGGCCAAACCGUUUACGUGUGAUACCCGGCAGGGGUUGCGUAUGCGGGGUUGUGGGAGUUCUCUUUCACAGUCUGCCGGCUGUGAGGCGAGUCAGAAACCGUUGGUGUAGGCGAAGGACAUGCGAAAGGUCCGGCGUAGAGGGUAAGACCCCCGUAGCUGAAACAUCAACGGCUCGUUUGAGAACCACCCAAGUAGCACGGGGCCCGAGAAAUCCCGUGUGAAUCUGGCGGGACCACCCGCUAAGCCUAAAUAUUCCCUGGUGACCGAUAGCGGAUAGUACCGUGAGGGAAUGGUGAAAAGUACCGCGGGAGCGGAGUGAAAUAGUACCUGAAACCGUGUGCCUACAAGCCGUGGGAGCGUCGCUGGCAGCACUUGUGCUGUCAGUCGUGACUGCGUGCCUUUUGAAGAAUGAGCCUGCGAGUUAGCGGUGUGUAGCGAGGUUAACCCGUGUGGGGAAGCCGUAGCGAAAGCGAGUCCGAACAGGGCGUUUGAGUUGCACGCUCUAGACCCGAAGCGGAGUGAUCUAGCCAUGGGCAGGUUGAAGCGGAGGUAAGACUUCGUGGAGGACCGAACCCACCAGGGUUGAAAACCUGGGGGAUGACCUGUGGUUAGGGGUGAAAGGCCAAUCAAACUCCGUGAUAGCUGGUUCUCCCCGAAAUGCAUUUAGGUGCAGCGUCGUGUGUUUCUUGCCGGAGGUAGAGCACUGGAUAGGCGAUGGGCCCUACCGGGUUACUGACCUUAGCCAAACUCCGAAUGCCGGUAAGUGAGAGCGCGGCAGUGAGACUGUGGGGGAUAAGCUCCAUGGUCGAGAGGGAAACAGCCCAGAGCAUCGACUAAGGCCCCUAAGCGUACGCUAAGUGGGAAAGGAUGUGGAGUCGCAGAGACAACCAGGAGGUUGGCUUAGAAGCAGCCACCCUUGAAAGAGUGCGUAAUAGCUCACUGGUCAAGUGAUUCCGCGCCGACAAUGUAGCGGGGCUCAAGCGUACCGCCGAAGUCGUGUCAUUCCAGCAUGUACCCCCAACGGGGGCUGGGAUGGGUAGGGGAGCGUCGUGUGCCGGGUGAAGCCGCGCCGGAAGGCAGUGGUGGACGGUUCACGAGUGAGAAUGCAGGCAUGAGUAGCGAUACACACGUGAGAAACGUGUGCGCCGAUUGACUAAGGGUUCCUGGGUCAAGCUGAUCUGCCCAGGGUAAGUCGGGACCUAAGGCGAGGCCGACAGGCGUAGUCGAUGGACAACCGGUUGAUAUUCCGGUACCCGCUUUGAAACGCCCAGUACUGAAUCAGGCGAUGCUAAGUCCGUGAAGCCGGCCCGAUCUCUUCGGAGUUGGUGGAUGAUCCUAUGCUGUCGAGAAAAGCCUCUAGCGAGUUUCAUGGCGGCCCGUACCCUAAACCGACUCAGGUGGUCAGGUAGAGAAUACCGAGGCGUUCGGGUGAACUAUGGUUAAGGAACUCGG
Molecule: ribosomal RNA, 1741 nt
Filed under: Streptomyces sp. ZEA17I
Lineage: Bacteria; Bacillati; Actinomycetota; Actinomycetes; Kitasatosporales; Streptomycetaceae
Description: bacterial LSU rRNA
Rfam family: Bacterial large subunit ribosomal RNA
Source: RNAcentral